UGAGGGAAUAUUUGGGUCAAUGGGCGAGAGCCUGAACCAGCCAAGUAGCGUGCAGGACGACGGCCCUAUGGGUUGUAAACUGCUUUUAUAAGGGAAUAAAGUGAGUCUCGUGAGGCUUUUUGCAUGUACCUUAUGAAUAAGGACCGGCUAAUUCCGUGCCAGCAGCCGCGGUAAUACGGAAGGUCCGGGCGUUAUCCGGAUUUAUUGGGUUUAAAGGGAGCGUAGGCCGGAGAUUAAGCGUGUUGUGAAAUGUAGACGCUCAACGUCUGCACUGCAGCGCGAACUGGUUUCCUUGAGCACGCACAAAGUGGGCGGAAUUCGUGGUGUAGCGGUGAAAUGCUUAGAUAUCACG
Molecule: ribosomal RNA, 352 nt
Filed under: uncultured Prevotella sp.
Lineage: Bacteria; Pseudomonadati; Bacteroidota; Bacteroidia; Bacteroidales; Prevotellaceae
Description: bacterial SSU rRNA
Rfam family: Bacterial small subunit ribosomal RNA
Source: RNAcentral